AGUGAACGCUGGCGGUAGGCCUAACACAUGCAAGUCGAACGGCAGCACAGUAAGAGCUUGCUCUUACGGGUGGCGAGUGGCGGACGGGUGAGGAAUACAUCGGAAUCUACUUUUUCGUGGGGGAUAACGUAGGGAAGCUUACGCUAAUACCGCAUACGACCUACGGGUGAAAGCAGGGGAUCUUCGGACCUUGCGCGAUUGAAUGAGCCGAUGUCGGAUUAGCUAGCUGGCGGGGUAAAGGCCCACCAAGGCGACGAUCCGUAGCUGGUCUGAGAGGAUGAUCAGCCACACUGGAACUGAGACACGGUCCAGACUCCUACGGGAGGCAGCAGUGGGGAAUAUUGGACAAUGGGCGCAAGCCUGAUCCAGCCAUACCGCGUGGGUGAAGAAGGCCUUCGGGUUGUAAAGCCCUUUUGUUGGGAAAGAAAAGCAGCAGGUUAAUACCCCGCUGUUCUGACGGUACCCAAAGAAUAAGCACCGGCUAACUUCGUG
RNAcentral lists this ribosomal RNA (492 nucleotides) under uncultured bacterium. Its description in RNAcentral is "partial 16S ribosomal RNA". It matches the Rfam family "Bacterial small subunit ribosomal RNA", at positions 29 to 507 of the family's 1533-position model. The record is from RNAcentral.